Psammomys obesus (fat sand rat) is the source of this 685-nucleotide long non-coding RNA. RefSeq lists it as uncharacterized. The record is from RefSeq and is a predicted model, not a curated record. The transcript is spliced from 3 exons. NCBI's taxonomy places the organism in Eukaryota, Metazoa, Chordata, Mammalia, Rodentia, Muridae.
GGAAAGGAACCCGGAGCCUGUGCCUGCCAGACAGGUGGCCUACCACUGAGUGGCAUCCCAGCCUGGGUUUGGCUUCUAUCUGCCCCGAAGGAUUUUGGAAAGUCCAGCUACAAAGGGGAUAUUUUUCACUCUUCCUGACAGCAGUUGACUUGCUAAGAACACAAUCAACUGCCUCUUCAAGUCCAGCAAUAGAGUACAACUUCACAGAAGCCGGAUUGCUUGGGGCGUUACGAAGGUGUGUAACCCACAGCGAAGGCACGUUGCUAAAGCCGAUGAAUGCUGAGUAGAAUACAGACAAUGGGACGUUGGGGUUUCCUGGCUGUGAAUAGAGCACUGCACGAAAUUGCCACUUUAAACAAUUCCUUUGUGUAUGAAGCUCAUCCGAAAUAAGUUGGAUCACCACUUAUUUCGUUUAUAUAGGCAUAUCAGUUGUUUCCGAUGUAUUUUCAAGGAAACAUGCUGACAGCAUCAGGCAGAGACAGGAACGCAGUGGAUAUGAAGUGAGGUGAGUCUUUUCGUCUCUCUCUGCAUUGCUGAACCCCCGGGCUGGGCUUCUCACGUGCCAGACAAAUGCUUCGCCACUGAGCCACUUCCCUGGCUCUUGUUCUUCCAAGACAGUGCCUCACUAUGCAGCUCUGGCUUGCCUCAAACUAACUUGUAAGCCUCCUACUUUCACCUAGCAAGA